GUUUUUUUUUUUAGAAUCGGGUCAACAAUAUGGCAGAAUGGUGAAUAUCAUGAACAUACCACAAAUAAAAAAGUAUUAUUCCUGGAUGUGUUUGAAUAAUUUUAUAUCUACGACGAUGUCAAAUGCACCUGAACGACAUCUGUAGUGAUAGAACAACCCCAUCUACGACGUAUUCCUGUCCCUUACAUCACAGCAGCACAACGCGGGUGGUAGUGGAACGAUACAGACCACCCUCGCAACCACUGCUUAAGCAGGACGAUACACCGAUACCAAAUCUUACACCUGUUUCGUAACGACGUCUUUUUGAGAGAGAGAAUGGGGGUAACACUUCAGUUUCGAGAAGGCCGUUCGAAUAAAAUGCGGGUACCGACGUUUCGAAGGAACAUACUGCCUUCGUCUUUAGGACAUCACCUAUCAACAAGUCGACACGGGGUGGAGUCGCAGACCAUCAUGGACAUCUUCACCGCCGUGAGGACCUCAGCUCUUAGCCACGGUGUAAACAUGUGAUCAGCUCUGUCCCUAGGCUUAGAUCAGAUGAUGGUAUUAAAAUGGAUCUUAAACAGUCG
This is a non-coding RNA of Zootermopsis nevadensis, 566 nucleotides long. The record is from RefSeq and is a predicted model, not a curated record. NCBI's taxonomy places the organism in Eukaryota, Metazoa, Arthropoda, Insecta, Blattodea, Termopsidae.